GAUGAACGCUAGCGGGAGGCUUAAUACAUGCAAGUCGAGGGGUAGAGUUAAUUUCGGUUGACUUGAGACCGGCGCACGGGUGAGUAACGCGUACACUACCUACCAUAUACUGGAGGAUAGUCAUUGGAAACGAUGAGUAAUACUGCAUAAUAUCUAAGGAUUAAAGCUACGGCGGUAUAUGAUGGGUGUGCGUAUCAUUAGCUAGUUGGUAAGGUAACGGCUUACCAAGGCUACGAUGAUUAGGGGGCGUGAGAGCGUGAUCCCCCACACGGGUACUGAGACACGGACCCGACGUCUACGGACGGCAGCAGUAAGGAAUAUUGGACAAUGGGCGAGAGCCUGAUCCAGCCAUCCCGCGUGUAGGAUGACGGCCCUAUGGGUUGUAAACUACUUUUAUAUGAGAAGAAUAGCUUGUAUUUAUAUGAGUGUGACGGUAUUAUAUGAAUAAGCACCGGCUAACUCCGUGCCAGCCGCCGCCGUAACAC
RNAcentral lists this ribosomal RNA (485 nucleotides) under uncultured bacterium. RNAcentral describes it as "bacterial SSU rRNA". It matches the Rfam family "Bacterial small subunit ribosomal RNA", at positions 28 to 526 of the family's 1533-position model. The record is from RNAcentral.